Molecule: non-coding RNA, 27 nt
Filed under: Cricetulus griseus (Chinese hamster)
Lineage: Eukaryota; Metazoa; Chordata; Mammalia; Rodentia; Cricetidae
Source: RNAcentral
CCAAGAUGUCUGGAUAGCGCACUCUGA